Molecule: unclassified non-coding RNA, 203 nt
Filed under: uncultured Hydropus
Lineage: Eukaryota; Fungi; Basidiomycota; Agaricomycetes; Agaricales; Tricholomataceae
Description: sequence contains ITS2
Source: RNAcentral
AAUUCUCAAACUUACUUCUUGUUAAUCUCUUGACUUGAAGACAGUUUGGAUGUGGGAGUUGCUGGUUUUUCAAAUCAGCUCUCUUUAAAUGUAUUAGUAGUUUGGCUUUGUCCCACAUUCCCAAUUGAUGUGAUAGUUUAUCUGCAUCAUUAGAGAAUGAAUCUGCUUCCAACUUGUUGGUCUUUUUGACCGAUGCUUUGACA